Molecule: non-coding RNA, 232 nt
Organism: Pelobates cultripes (western spadefoot toad)
Lineage: Eukaryota; Metazoa; Chordata; Amphibia; Anura; Pelobatidae
Source: the annotation of a GenBank genome assembly
CUCAUAUGUACAGCUUCCAUAUCUCUAUAUUACACUAAUACGCACAGCCUCCAUCUCACUAUAUUACACUACUAUGGACAGCUUUCAUCUCUCUAUAUUAGACUGAUAUGGACAGACCCCAUCUCUCUAUAUUACACUGAUAUGGACAGCCUCCAUCUCUCUAUAUUAGACUAAUAUGUACAGCCUCCAUAUCUCUAUAUUACACUAAUACGGACAGCUCCCAUAUCUCUAU